This 146-nucleotide unclassified non-coding RNA is filed under the name soil metagenome. RNAcentral describes it as "partial internal transcribed spacer 1". The record is from RNAcentral.
CCGAGUUUACAACUCCCAAACCCUGUGAACAUACCACUUGUUGCCUCGGCGGAUCAGCCCGCUCCCGGUAAAACGGGACGGCCCGCCAGAGGACCCCUAAACUCUGUUUCUAUAUGUAACUUCUGAGUAAAACCGUAAAUAAAUCA